This 611-nucleotide long non-coding RNA is filed under the name Populus trichocarpa (black cottonwood). RNAcentral's name for it is "long non-coding RNA (PTRI_LNC001096)". The record is from RNAcentral. Lineage: Eukaryota; Viridiplantae; Streptophyta; Magnoliopsida; Malpighiales; Salicaceae.
GGGGUGACGCAUAGAACUCAACUAGGACAAAAGAAGAGAACCUUUGGAAAGACCUCUCCUUUAUUCUGUGGCUAAAAUAGAAUAGAUCCAGAGAAGGUCACAGGCACUCCAGUGACAUCAGACCUGUACAGCAAAGGCAAGGGAAACGACAGCAAGCAGUAGGAUUUUCAUAUGUUUUGUCUACAUACAUACAUUAACCCAGAAAUCAGCAAAAGAAAACAAACAAUCUUGAAAGAACACAUAUAAAAAUAGUGAUGGGUUUUGAUUAGAUUCUUAAAGUUAGUUGCCACCAAAUAAUACUCUCUUUUGUAACCUCAUGGAAAUGGCGCACUCUACAGGUGCUAGAAAUCCAAACGCCCACAGAAACUAGUAGCAGCAGCCAGUACUGGAAGGUUGGCUUUGAUUGUUGUAAGAGCAAAACCAAUAGAACAAAAGUCUUUAUCGUAUCAUAACUUACCACCCAUGGAGGAGAGUGGUCCGCUCCUCAGUAUCAAGCAGUAGUACUCACAUAUACAGAGAGAGAGAGAGAUGUGUGUGUGUGUUUCGUGAGGGUACAGAACCUGGCUUGAAAGGAAUUAGAUUGAAAGAGACUUGACAGCAAAAGUGAGGAA